AAUUAUACCGGAAGAGUGUGCUCUUGUUUUUUCAACAAACGUUUGGUCGUCGUCGUCGUCGAGUGUGUGUGGACGCCACGAGGGGAAAGAAAACUUGCCACAAACGAACUUAAUGAACGUAACUACACACUGAAGCAGUUUUGUGAGAUGUUCAUCCAUUUUAUGGACACUAGUGCGUUAGUUUCUUUCUCGAUAAACUUUUUUUGUCGGUACGUUGCUAUGCUACGCUAUGCUAUGCUAGGCUAGUGCUGCGGUUCAACGUUCUCAGCUCUGUGAACACUCGACACACAGCGGAUGGCUCGUCUGGAAAAGGCAAACGUUUGAAAAACCAAAAGGUCCCUUCUUUAAUGUCUGCCAUCAGAACACGUGGGUUCGAUUUCAACGGCAACAUCAUCAUGAUUUCCACAGAUGAGCAGAUGGGCCGUCAGUGUUUCAUGAACUUCUUCGACCUGAGGGAUCCACAGAUCGUAGAGAAGUCCUGAAGAAAGCUAAAGAGCACAUCCAGACGUCACCAUGUUCAUCAGGGCCUCAAAGGACAACACCACCAAGGUCCUUUCUUUAAUGUCUGCCACCAGAACACGUGGGUUUGAUUUCACAGACGAGCAGAUGGGCCGUCAGUGUUUCAUGAACUAGUUCGACCUGAGGGAUCCACAGAUCGUAGAUUUAACGAUGUGCCCUACAUGACAGAGUCCAAGCUGCUGUGCCUUCAAGUCUUCUCCUCCAUUGCAUCUGUAAAUGACUGAUAAGCAUAGGAGGCACAAUGGAUGGAAUGACAAGAACAAGCUGGAAUAACACGAUCAAAAGCUGUGUCGGUCUCAUGGAAAGCCAUACAGUUGAUGGGACCUUUGACUCUGCCACUCCUCUUCGUAUGCAGCGUGGAAGAACCUGCAGAUUAGAAGAACACGUCGUUGAGCCACAUGUUAGCACAAACAAACAGGUUUUCCUUAAAAGCAGCUACAAAGUAGUCACUCUUACAGUGCAAAGUCUGUUGCACAACUAAAUGUUUACAUAUCACUAUCAUCAGUAACAGUACAAACUCAAUGUUUUAAACAUUUCAUCACUACAUGAAGGCCUUUGUUUGUAACAAAGUCAUGGCUUAAUCGGUGCUAAUGCUAACACCACAAUGGAAUAAAGAAUAUUUGCAUUUGCA
Cynoglossus semilaevis (tongue sole) is the source of this 1150-nucleotide long non-coding RNA. RefSeq lists it as uncharacterized. The record is from RefSeq and is a predicted model, not a curated record. Lineage: Eukaryota; Metazoa; Chordata; Actinopteri; Pleuronectiformes; Cynoglossidae. The transcript is spliced from 5 exons.